Molecule: ribosomal RNA, 500 nt
Filed under: uncultured bacterium
Lineage: Bacteria
Description: partial 16S ribosomal RNA
Rfam family: Bacterial small subunit ribosomal RNA
Source: RNAcentral
AUUGAACGCUGGCGGCAUGCCUUACACAUGCAAGUCGAACGGCAGCACGGGAGCAAUCCUGGUGGCGAGUGGCGAACGGGCGAGUAAUGUAUCGGAACGUGCCCAGUCGUGGGGGAUAACGUAGCGAAAGCUACGCUAAUACCGCAUACGAUCUAUGGAUGAAAGCGGGGGAUCGCAAGACCUCGCGCGAUUGGAGCGGCCGAUAUCAGAUUAGGUAGUUGGUGGGGUAAAGGCUCACCAAGCCGACGAUCUGUAGCUGGUCUGAGAGGACGACCAGCCACACUGGGACUGAGACACGGCCCAGACUCCUACGGGAGGCAGCAGUGGGGAAUUUUGGACAAUGGGCGCAAGCCUGAUCCAGCAAUGCCGCGUGCAGGAUGAAGGCCUUCGGGUUGUAAACUGCUUUUGUACGGAACGAAACGGCGAGCUCUAAUACAGUUUGCUAAUGACGGUACCGUAAGAAUAAGCACCGGCUAACUACGUGCCAGCAGCCGCAGUAA